Molecule: long non-coding RNA, 1820 nt
Organism: Andrographis paniculata
Lineage: Eukaryota; Viridiplantae; Streptophyta; Magnoliopsida; Lamiales; Acanthaceae
Exons: 2
Source: RefSeq, a predicted model, not a curated record
UUGGAGAGACGUCAGGCGGAGCAUAUAGCGGGAUUCGUGGAGCAGGCUUGAGUCAUCGUCGAGGCGACUUCUGAACACUCCUUGUUUGCUUUCUCCGAUAAUCUUGCCGUUCCGAACAUUCUCGAGCUGGAAGGAACUGAGAACAGUUACUACCUUGAAUUGCUUCGCAUCUUUGCAUAUGGUACAUGGAGUGAAUACAAGAGUACGAUUCGCUGUCUCCAGCCAUCAUCUCUGUUCAAAUUGCUUGAUCUAUUGAUUAUGUUGUCUGUUCAUUUAACGGUUGGUAUUAUAUGGUACUAAUUAGCAGUGUUCCACCUUUCCUAUUGGUAAACCUCUAGUAUACGGGUUGUUAUACGACCUGCUGCUGCACCAAUGACUUCAUAUUAUUGUCAAGGUUUUUAGUAAUGGAAAAAUAACUUGUGCAAAUAAUCAUCAUGCUAAUGUCUCUGUUUUUUCAGGUAUUUUAAUAUGAACUAAAAAUCUGUCAUAUUGCUAAUAAACAUGUAGAAAUCUCUGUGCUCCUUAGGCGCCAAAGCCAUAAUCUAGACACUGCUUGUGCAUGAUAUGAGUCCUGGAUUUCAAUUGUUCAAUCAUGCUUGAAACUCAUUAGACACUUUAUCCAUGAUUUAGCUCUCAGAGUUUUAAAAGAGCAUAAUGCACACUCACCUGUUAUUUGUACCAAAAAGAAACUGUAUUCUUCAUGAGUUGAUUAGCAUACUCUGUAGAUGAUCCCAAAUACCUUAAAGGCUGUAGUGAAAUGUUUCACUAUGGGGAAACUUGUGUUAGGCUGCUAGGACUAUUGUUGGAUCAGAUCACAUUCAAUCAACAUUCAGGCAGUCAGUAAAAAAGUGCAGCAAUCUAUACAUUUAGUUUGUGGCUUACUUGAUAAUGCUUGAAUAUGUCUGUAAAGAUGUUGGAAGGUGUCUUCCUCAGUUGCAUCCUAAUCAAAUCAUCAAGCUGAAGCAGUUGACCCUACUUACUCUGGCAGAGAUGAUGAAGGUAGUUUACAUUUCAUGUAUGCACUAUGCGUGGUUCCGAGGAGAGUAUGAUUCAAUUUCUUUCUUGGUGUCACCUAUUUAGAAUAAUGAUCUUGUUUCUGUAACAGAUUGAAUGCUAAAGUUUUAAUGAAAACCCGUACAUGAUGAGUUCUCUGCAAGUAUACUUAAUUCUUAAUUUGAUGAGGGGGAAAAUACAUAGACAUAGCAGAGGGUGAGAAAUGUGUACAACUAGCAGCAUUUUAAUUGACGCAGUGAAGAAAAUGAUUUUCUUGGCGCAUUCAGGUUAGCUUUUGCGAUAUGGAUGCAUUUGAAAUGGCACAUAGGGUAGGAACUGCAUUGAGUGCAUUUUAUUUAUCGCACAUAUGUAAGUUGAUGGUUGAGGACAUAUAACAAGAAAGGGCGAUGGGGAUAACAAUCCUGUGGACUUGAAUUUUGGUAUAUUUGUGAGUUGUUUUAGUGGUUAAAUAUAUAUUAGUACUUCUUAAGGAUAUGAAUUACUUUUUAAGUUGUGUUGUGUGUAUAUUCUUAAGAUUGAUAUUUACCUGAUAGUGAUUAAGCAAAUAUUGAAUUUUAAAUAUGUGUGCCUACAUGGUGAAUUAAUAAAUUUGUUUGAUAGGGGCUUCUUACCUAUUUCUAUAGAAGUAGUUUGCAAAUGUGCUGUGUGUUUUAGUUAUGGAAAACAUAAUAAUGUUUUGCAUUCCUGCUGGCACUAUAACAAAGCAUCUGGCAGUUACAAAGCAUAUCCUCAACACCUAAUCCACAUUCCAACUUUAUUCAUACUCAGCUCAUAUAUAUAUAUAUAUAUAUAUAGUAUAAGCUGCA